Oreochromis niloticus (Nile tilapia) is the source of this 2980-nucleotide long non-coding RNA. RefSeq lists it as uncharacterized. Lineage: Eukaryota; Metazoa; Chordata; Actinopteri; Cichliformes; Cichlidae. The record is from RefSeq and is a predicted model, not a curated record. The transcript is spliced from 3 exons.
UUAAAAAUGCAUGCUGUGGAAGAGUUCGGGUCUUAGGAGGUUAAAUGCCCCUGCAGCAGUGACCCCGCCUCUCGCCUUAUGACAGCUGAGAUGAUUUUGUGUUUCCUUCUGUGCCUGCAUGACGUCUUCAGUAUUUCAGCUACAUUUGACAUCGGUGGGAAAGUGCAAAAGUAAGCAUAAAUAAUACUACAGCACUUUCAAUACCAGGUAGGGGUACUGCACUUGUGGGGCAUUAAUGAGCAGCGUGUGGGCUCCACUGGACUGUCCUAAAGCUGACUUCAAGACCAUCACCAGACUGGACACAAUGGGAGAAGUGGUUGAAAGAUGCACAAUAAAGACCUUAGAAGCCAUCAUGAGCAACUCUGAACAGCUCACCUUAUAACAGCUUUAUGGGACCUGGAGGACUCGUCUGUCUUCGUUGUUAAACAGGGAGACACAGAAAAUCAGUCACACCCGCGGCCAUCAGGCUUUUCACUCCUCAUACAAAUAGUGAGUCGUGAAUUCCCCUCUGGGAUCAAUGAAGUUAUUCUUAAGCUGUUGUCUGGCAAACUGCUGUAUGGUGUUUCAUCUCUGGUGCUUCAUAAAAGCUGUUACAGACUCCACUGUUAGAUUAUGUGUUAUCAUAAAUGUCGACACGAGCUGCGAUUAGUUUGUGGAAACAUGAAUUUUCCUUUUAACAGCAUCCUGAAGUGAAUGGAAGUGUAGCUCAUUUGCUACAUUUAAAGGGCUUUUAUUUUGAAAUCCAAAAUCGGAUUGACUUGAUAAUAACAUGGCCCCAGUGUGAGGGUGUGUACUGGUGAUAAAAAGUGAAAUUAGAAAUUCUUUACUGAAAAUAGAUGAUAAAAUCUUAUCUAAGAUGAGAAUCAGUCAGUCCACAAAUAAUCUCACCAGAUCAGACAGCUUUCAUUUCAAACCAGCACUCUAGUUCAGAUGUCAGAAGGCUGUUUAGUAUCGUCUUCUCGUCCCCAUCCUAACCCAUCCCAUCACUCAACUCAGCGCAGUUUCUACAGAAAGCACCCUGUGAAAAGCCAGAGCACUGUCCUUCCAAAAUGUCAGCGUCAUCUUCAAGACAUGACAACAGGUGUGACAACAACACCCAGCUGUUGGCUUUGUAAGUUUCUCUCUCUUAUUCUUGGCCCUUAAUUUCCCCGCUUCUCCCCGUUGUUCCUGAGUUUUAGCGCUGUAAGUAAAGGAAGCCGAUCAGAAAUGUUGACUGCAACCAGGCGGAGGAGGCGGGAUUUAAGCUCUGCUGUGUCACACGUGGGCGUAGGCUAUGAUGUAAGCCACGCCCCAGGACAAUUCACUGGAAAAUUGUAAAUAAACAUGCAGGAGCAAAGAACAGUGAGUCCUGACAGGGUAAUAGAUCAUCUACAAACACAUACUCACUGUAUUUCAGAGCAUCACUGCUAUUCUGUCUCUUCAUUAAUGGAUUUAACUGAAAGAGGGGGAGGUGGACGUUUAACAGUGGCAUUACAGCACAUCACAUAAUCAUCACAUACUCGGAUUACAGCACAUCGAAGGGCUGCCCCGGCAGUGAGGCCUAUCAUCCCCCCUUAUGCUCAUUCUUAUUUUCUUAAAUCCCUUACAACAGCACAUGUUCAUAUUAAACAUUCCAGAUAAUGAGUAUGUGAGCCAAAGAUCAGGCUUCAGACUGCUCCACAAAGCCUCUGUGACGUCAAAGGGAGCAGAUAUCCCUAAUGUGAUCAUCUUAGGAGUAACAUUCACAGGAGCAAAGGAACAAAUGCAGAAAUGUCCGGGAUUGCACAGUGACCAUCAGAAGGAGACAGCAGGUCGAUCCAGGAGCUGAGGAAAACAAGAAAUCUGCUCAAGGCUGAUGGACACUGAUUCCUUCCAUCCAGCCACUUCCAUUUCCCAUCUUCAACUCUCAGACCAAUCCAGUAUCCUUUGUUAUCAUCAUAUGUCCAACUCUUUUCACUGACAGUUUUCAGAGGACAGAGAGAAAGUUGUCAGAGAUAUUUAAAUGCUUUGCUCUAAGAAAGCUUUCAAUCUAAAGAAAUUAUUUUUAUUUCCUGAAGUCUGUAAUAACGUGUCUCACAAUUUUUCUCAAUUUUCUCAUUACCAUUUCUUCUUCAUUAAUCACAACAACCAAAUCUGAAAUCUUUCCUCUGUAGUUUUCUCGAGCUUCUUCCCAGGUUUUCCAUUGAUCACGGUCAGCAUCAUUAGUUGCAUAGCAGCUGGACUCAACAUGAUCCCAGCCAGCCUGACAACGGUUACAUUUUCUGUCUGCAAGAAUAGAGAACUGUUAAUAAACAGCUUCAAAUUAGGUAAUUUUGUACAAAUAUAUUUGGAACAUACUGUUAUUUUCUUUGGGACAGUAGGCAUCAAUGCUCCAUUGAGCUCGACUAACAUUGAAGUCACUCCAUGAUGUCAUCAUCUGUUGCAUUAUUUCUGUUAGGUUUUUCUUCUCUGUCUCCAGCUCCUCAUUUUUCUUUUUGAGCAUCUGUGUCUCUGCAGUCAAGUUUGCGAUCUGUUUUUCUAAAACUGUGGAGACUAUGAGGUUACAAAGGACAGCAGUUAGUUUUUUUUUAAGUGGUUUGAAUGUAUUUACAUGUUUCUUAUAAAUCAAUGCAACAAUAACUGUUAAAAAACACAAUCAAAUAUAAAACAUGAGACUACUUUGGCCUUACACACCUGAGAUCAAAGUGUAAGAUUUAAAUUUAUACUCACUGUAGAAUCGAAGGAGCAUAAUUAGUAACAGAAAUCCCCAGCAUGUUGCUAGUGAUGGAAAAGAUUUAUUACAGGACGACUUCUUAUCUAGCAAAAAAAAAAAAAAAAAAAAGUUAUUUCAACAACCAAAAUUAUUCAUAGUUUUAAAGUCUUUAGAAUAAAAUGAAAUGUGUCAAAGAUCCCCAAUUAUUUAAGCAUUGUUCUGUUAUGUACAACCACAAAAUACCUGUUGGAGGCAGAGAAAAAAUGAUUUAACUUUAGACCAGACCUAUAAUCACAAAGAAAACUAAAU